Molecule: long non-coding RNA, 2020 nt
Filed under: Nicotiana benthamiana
Lineage: Eukaryota; Viridiplantae; Streptophyta; Magnoliopsida; Solanales; Solanaceae
Description: long non-coding RNA (NBEN_LNC034710)
Source: RNAcentral
UCGCACUAACAGAAUACUCUAACAGUGUUAAGAGCUAUAUAAUCUCAACAGUCAACCAACAUUACUGGAAUUAAAUGACUAAGUAAUAGAUUUUCAAACAACCAACGUUAACAUGAUGUUCAAAUUAAUAAUAUAAAAGAAACUACAGAAAUCAACUAUUGAUUCAACCAGCUGAAUAAUUUAUGAAUAAACUAGUCUAGAUUCUAAAAUAUGCACUUCCCUUUGAACUAUUGUGUACUCGUCAGAUCCUAUAACAGCUAUAAUGCAUUGAAAGAAAACUAACUAAACAAACACAAUAAUUCAAAGGAACACAUGCAAAAAGGAGCCGUAAGUCUAUGUUAUAUCCAUUGAAACUCUUGUUACAAAAUACUUUGAAGCACUUCACGCUUUAGCAAUCACUACGGUCCAAGAAAUACCUGGAGAUCAAAGCAAAAAAUGGUGAGAAAUCAGGCAGUUCAAUGCAGUUAAUCAAGUAAAGAAGCAGCAACAACCAGCCAACAAAUAGCUUCAGAUCAUACUCCAACCCAGAAAACAGAUACCCAAUGGAAACUUUUCAAAGUUCUUCCUCAAGAAAAGAAAAUCAGAAACACAUCCAAUUUCCAAUGAAAUAGUGCAGAGAACUUUUUGUAGUCUUUUAGGUCUAUAUAAAGCGCUUUUUGAUGCCAUGUGCUUCUGAAAAUAGAAUGAGAAUUAUUCCCUCACCUAAUCAUCUUUUUUAACUACCUGGAUAACUGGCUAUCCCUUAGGCUCAGUAUUUUUGUGCGAAUCCAACGGGGCCAGCUGCCCCAAGUUCUAAAACCUUCCUAUAUACCUUCUAACCCAAAGUUGGAUUCAUAUCUUUACCCAACCCCUUAAGUUCUUCCUUAUAUCAUUGAACCCCCCAAUCUUCUAAUUGCUUAUGAUUUAAUACUUACAAAACAAAAACAAAACUGGCACAAUUUGACUGAUUGAAAGUACCAAACCCUUAGUGACUGACUCUUGAAUUAACUCUUAACGUAAAUAAUUUUAUUACUAAGAGAAAUAAAAAAUGACACAACAUUUGAACAAUUGAAACCAACAUUAACAUUAUCUAAUUAUUGGACUAUCCCUGAGGCUCAAACCUUCUGAAUUAAAUUAUACACAGUCAUUAACAAAUAAUCACUCUACAAUGAGAGAGAUUAGCAUGCUAAUUCAAAAUGAGUCUGCCUAAACAUGAACUAACCCAUCUAGAUAAACCCUAAGUAAACAGAAACUGAACAUUUAACGAUAUUGAUAGAAGAUUCAUGAACUUAUCUUAAGAUAUUGGCUAACAAUAAUGAUUAAACACAUAAAUUAAACAAAUAAUCCUACAAUGCUAUAAACCCUAAAUUAUGCAAUUAAAUGGUCAUGAAGUCAUUAAACUCAAGAGAAAGGGGAAGAAAAUAACAUAGGGACACAAAUAAUGUAAAAUAAUAAAGAAAUAUCUAUGUUCGUCCAAACGAAAUCCACUAAGAACUCAACCCUUCCUUAAACGAAUGAAGCAAACCUUUAACUAUCAUUUAUCGACUAUCCUUAAUAAAGAACCAUCGAUUAAUUAUAGUUUAGGGUUCGCUUGACCACAUGUUGACUAAGAUAGGAAAAAGGGGAGAAAACCUAAAGCUUAAUCAGAACCCCUGCUUCAAUGUUGACAGUGUUGGGGCUGAUUUGAGAGGAAACAAAACCAUAUAUGGGGAGAGGAAGGGUGAAAGGCUGUAUGGUGUAAGUUUGUGAUUGUUUGGGUGAUUUAGGUUUUUGGAAUUCUUAGUUUAGAUCCAAAUUCGAGAGGUUUGAGGGUGAUUUGGGGAAAGAGUUUAGGAGAUUCAGAAAGGUGAAGGCGAUGGGAUUAUAUGGUGUUAAUUUGGAGUAGAUCAAAGUGGUUUACGUCAUUGCCGCCGACGAAGAUGGUAGGGGUUUCAGGGGCGGCGGGUUCUAGGGUUUGGAUUGAGAGAGAUGAAAGGGUGAGAGGGUUUCGACUGGUUUAGGGAGUGGGUUUGGACAGUUAUAUAUGGUUUGUAUACCCAGU